Long non-coding RNA from Gambusia affinis (western mosquitofish), 3941 nucleotides. RefSeq lists it as uncharacterized. The transcript has 5 exons. Lineage: Eukaryota; Metazoa; Chordata; Actinopteri; Cyprinodontiformes; Poeciliidae. The record is from RefSeq and is a predicted model, not a curated record.
GCUUCCCGCGCCAUUCGCGUGCACGCGCGUGAGAGGGGACCAAGCACGCAACCGUUAGAAGACUGUCUGGAGUCUGUCUCAAAUUGAUAAAUUUGGAAAUGGAGUUUUACGGGUCUCUGUGCAUCUACAAGGAAGCCGGCUGCUGGGAUAUUUGGAUCUUUGCACUCAUCCUCAGACGUCGCUUCACCUUGAGUCGCCACGCAUUGACGAAAUGUUUAUUUUUCUUCUUUAGAAAACAAAAAACCCAAAGUUUUUCCCCCCUCUUCUGCAGUCCAUCAGCAGGCAGACAGCUCCUUAUGCCCAGGGAGUUGUUCCUCACCCAUGGAGUUCAAGAUGAGUGCAUCAUGCACGAGGCAGCCUAUAAAAGCACAUAAAGCUGCUGACAUUGACAGUUAUGAUUUCCUGUCAACAAAUGUGCAGAGAGAGCUGUGUUGGUGGACUAGGAGGAAGAUGUCACACUAAGGAUGGGUUUUUUUGGCGAUGAUGUUGGUGCUGUUGAUGCAGCAUCGAGCUCUCACUUUGUGCCUCUGUCAGCUAUGAUCCGUAACCAUAAAGUGAGUGACAGGCCAUUCUCCGGGGGGAAAGCAGAGGUCUGAGAAGGAAGAGGAGGAAAGCAACAUGGAUGUGGCUGAGCUCGCUGACUGAACUGAUAAAUCCUCCACUCCACCAUGAUGAUAACGAUGAUGGCUGUUUAUCCUUUUAAAGUUGAUGCUGGAUCAGUUUUUUUUUAUUUACUUUUGGGUAAUUUCCCAUGGAGCAAAGCAAGAAAAGUGGGAAUAAUGGCUUCCAAAAUGCUUUAAUGGAAAAGAGGUGUGAACGGAUCAUUUACCCUGCAGACAGGGGUACACAGAGAAGCCAAAGAGCAGCCUGAGACUGCCAUUUGAAUGGGAUCUGAGACGUAAUUUGAUCUAAAAUGGACUCCAGUCAUUCACCCUCCUCCUACUCUCCCAUGGCAUCAACUGUAAUUCAUUAUUCCUGGCCAGCACAGGCAAUGAGCGAGGGCAAAGGACAGGAGUGGACUCUGCUCUGGUGUAAUGAAGACUCAGUAGACCUAAACGGCCCCCUUCCUCCCUUUCCUCCCCUCUCUCCCUCCAUCACUUAUACAUACACGCAAUCUUUCAUUAUCUAUCAGAGGGAGCAGCACAUUAAUGCUGCCGAAGACCUUUUGGUGGAGAAAUAAGAGUGUGCAAGGAUUUUCUCCACUCUCAAUCUAUUUCAUUGACCUUUUCCAUCAUGCAUGUAACUCAGAUUGCUUGCUGCAGCACCAGAUAAAUAUUCCAACAAUAGCAUGCCUGCUGCCACUUAAUAAUGCAUCUUUUUAAAAUGCAAAAAUGUAUGUUCAUCAGACUUUAAAGAAAUUAUAUAUACAUCUUUUGAGUUAUCAAUAUGCUUUCUUCACUCAGACAUGGAAUUUUAACACUUUAGAGCUUAGUUUGUCAGAUUAAAGAAGAGCACCCAUUUUAUGAUUUAUGAAGACUAAGAACACAAAUGUUAAAGAACUGCUGGUUUGACAAAGCUUUUUAAGACAUUUCAGUUCCCUGUCCCUCCACUAGGGGUCCACAGAUGUCUUGUCCAGACUGGCUGAGAGGAUAAACACUGUCAUCUGGUGGUAACAGGAAAGACAAUUUCUUCAAUUUAUUUGGAGGCAAAACUUCCUUAUAAUAUGUAGUUUGUGCUUUAUUGCAAAAACAUUUUUAGAUGGAUUUUGAGAACUGAACUAACUGAACUGAACUAACUAACUGAACUAACCCUUAAAAGAAAAAUUGUAGAGUGGAAGGUUUCCAAGAAAAGUUCCCAAAUAUGACCAAAGCUGAUGUAAAGUAUUCAUUAAAUUAACUUACUUUUUAAAACGUAUGUGUAGUGACUUAGAACACUUAAUAAUGUGUGAGUUGUAAGAGUUGUGAGUUGUUUUCCACACAUUUUAUACAUAUUUAUAUGAAACAUGCCUAUGGAGUAAAAGGAUGCCUAUGGAGUUUAGUACACAAGUUCUGGAUCCUUAGUUUUUACUCACCACAAACUAGAUGUGACACAAAGGAGAGAAAAACAAAAGUCAAGAAAAAAACUGUUCACUUUUUAAUGCAUCGCCAUAACAUACAAUUUUAUUUCUAAAGCACUUAAAAUACAACAUAGCAGCUGGCUGAAGUGCUGCACAAAAUUAAGAUAACAGCAAUAAAAUAAUAAUAUAGUUACAAGAAAACAACAAAUAUUACAACUACUAGUUUUAACAUGUGUUAAACUCUGAGCAGUUUAAAUGACUUUGUGUGGAGGAGAAACAUUAGAUCUGCUGAUAAUUUUUCAUAUACAUGUAUGAAAUGUGUACACACAAAGUCAUUUUAUCAUAAAAACAGCAACUGAAAAGAUUCUUAUUUAAACAUUGUUUUCAUUAAGCACCUUUAAAUAUCCCUGUGUAUUUGCUUUUAAUUACUCGUGUCACUUUGCUUUUCUUUAUUUUAAACAGUUUUAUAUUUUUUUUAGUCAUGAAACACUGGUAGUUUCAUGUGGGAAAGCUGCUAAGUAAUAUUUACAGAUUUAAUUAACAACAUUGGAAUAAUUGGCUUAAUCAAAGCCACUUAGUAAAAAUGAACAAUAUAUAUACUGUACUCAUUAUUAAUACAAUUGUAUUUGGAAUCAUCAUUGUCCUGCCAAAACACCCAGCUGUGUCCAAGAUUCAACCAUCGGACCCAAAGCCUCACUGUCAGAGGAAAUGAAAUUGGUGGGGUGUUCGGUAACAACCCAGGACCCUGAAAGCCUCAGGUCUGUCAGCAGAUAGAAAAUGAUGGGACACCACUAUCAGGGAUUACAAUAAUGGGAGUUUAACAUUACCACUGACUGAGAAGGAACAAGCCAAAGAAUAAACACCUGUUGCAAUCUAAACACCUCUAAGGUCAACUGAGAGCAAGUGUCCACAUGAAUAAGUCAAAUAGUUUCUGGAGAAGCUUGUUUUUAACUGAAUGACAUAAUGAUUGGACUAUUUGGCCACUAAGAUAAAAUAUUUUCACGUGUCAAGCUCUGUGGUGGUAGUGUUAUUCUGAGGUUCUUUUCUGUGGCCAUAAGAGGGGAUUGUGAAUGAUAAUCCCUAACAAUACAUCAAAACUGGAUUUGGAUAGCAUGAAAUCAAGAGGUCAAAUGUCCAGCAAGAAUUUCAACUGUUUAGUUUUGCAAUAAUAGAACAUUCAACUAAAUAUCAGCAAUAUUAUAUUUAAAUCUGUGUACGAUAAAUUGUUUUUUUUAAAUAAGUUAAAUAAAUAAGUUUUUUUUUUACAACCAUUGAAGUUUUAUGUUGCACUCCUCCAAAGAUAGAGUUCAAACCAAUGAUUCAAAGCCCAAAAGCAAUGUCCAAUUCAUGUAAACUUUCGUCUUAUUUUUAUUUUUACAUAUUUGUAAAUUUUUGUUCAUUUAUGCGUUGCAUGGUGGAUGUUUCUAUCUUGUUGUUGCUGCUUUAUUUCAGCUCCUUCCCCUUCAGUCAAUAAAGAUUGAUCUCACCUCAGCUGGGGCCAUCUGUAUGAGAGAGACUGUUCGACCUAACUGACUCCAUUCCGUAUUUGCUUCAAAAACGAUAGUUUUCUUAAGACAUAAAAGUGAAGUGUGAAAUAAAACAGUCAAAGGCAGGUCUACUUUCAGAGAUUUCCUGUUUUUUAAAGACACCAGAAUGCAGCUCGGGUUAGUGUUUGUCUGCCAGGACAGAGCUAGACAGGGGCAAACUGAUAGAUCAGAUUGGGGCCCAGCCUGGCCUGUCUCAGUGCCCUGGAGGAAGGAUCGAGCUUAUGAGUGAGAGGGGGUAGGGUGGUGGUGCUGUUGGCAGAGAGAAGGUGCCUUAAUGGAGUCUUUCAGUUUGCUGUGGCUGUAAAUGAAAGGAGGCUGAAAGUCAGCCAAUUACCAUUCCUUAGAGGAGGGAGAGAGGGCGUGUGGCGCUAGAUCAUUGCCUCCGUGUGCGUGUGUGU